UCCUGUGGUCCGGUCCUAUAUUUAUACUCAGAGCGCUCCCAAUCUCUUUCGGUUCCAUUUUCGUUCUUUCUCCCAUCUCCGCCAUUCUUUCUCAGCGGUUCUUUGUUGGCCCCGGGUGGAGAGAUAGGGAGGGAGCGAGGGGAGGAGAGAGUGGGUUAGGGUUUCAGGUUAUGGGAUUGGAGCGAUGUCGGGCGAGAAGCCGCCGGUGGAGCACUGCAAGGGCGUCAAUGGCCUCGACAAGGUCGUGCUGAGAGAGGUCAAGGGGAGUUCGGCUGAGGUGUACCUGUAUGGCGGUCAAGUGACAUCUUGGAAAAAUGACCAUGGGGAGGAGUUGCUUUUUGUCAGCAGUAAGGCAAUUUUCAAGCCUCCAAAACCUAUACGUGGGGGCAUCCCAAUAUGCUUUCCUCAAUUUUCAAACAAUGGACCUCUUGAACAGCAUGGGUUUGCAAGGAACAGGUUCUGGAGUAUUGACACUGACCCACCCCCUUUCCCAACAAAUAGCUCUAAUAAAGCUUUUGUUGAUUUAAUUCUCAAAACAUCUGAAGAAGAUUUAAAGAUCUGGCCCCACAGUUAUGAAUUUCGUCUACGGGUUACUCUGGGACCUGGAGGAGAUCUCAUGCUGAUAUCUCGCAUAAGAAAUACUAAUAAUGAUGGAAAGCCAUUCUCCUUCACAUUUGCAUACCACACUUAUUUUUCUGUUUCUGAUAUCAGUGAAGUGCGAGUUGAAGGAUUGGAGACUCUGGAUUACCUUGAUAACUUAGAGGAAAAGCAGCGCUUCACGGAACAAGGAGAUGCAAUAACAUUUGAAUCUGAAGUGGACAAAAUAUAUCUUAGCACACCAACCAAAAUCGCAAUUUUGGACCAUGAGAAAAAAAGGACUUUUGUUUUGCGGAAAGAUGGACUUCCAGAUGCAGUCUGAUAGCAUAUUAUACCUGCAGUGGUAUGGAAUCCAUGGGACAAGAAGGCCAAGGCCAUGGCAGAUUUUGGUGAUGAUGAGUACAAGCAUAUGUUGUGUGUGGAGGCUGCAGCUAUUGAGAAGCCCAUCACUUUGAAGCCCGGUGAGGAAUGGAAAGGGAGGCUGGAGCUGUCUGCCGUUCCCUCCAGUUACUGUAGCGGGCAACUGGAUCCUCAAAGGGUUCUUCAAGGUUGAAGCAUCUAGCUGUCUGGUAUCCUGUACAGGCACACUCUUGUUGCAUUUAACUUAUGGGUGCUUGGCGGCAAGCUACCAGGAGUUCUUUUCUUCCUUUUCUCAUUCUCCUGUUCCAUUUAAAGCUUUAUGGUGGAUUCAGAGGCAGACUUUUCUAUGGAAUAAUAGUGCCUUAUGUUGAGUUUUGAUUCAUAUCUCAUGCAGAAAAAAAAAAUGUCAACCUGAACCGGUGUGUAGAAAGUGACAAAGUGCUACCUGUUUCUUGUUUUUGUAUCAUGUCAUAAAUUGAUGGUUACCUAAGGCAUGUAUAGAGCCUUUCUAGAUACAUUUGUUAUUGCCAUUUUAUGCCUUCUGCGGUAAACUCUGUUCAGGUUAUGAAAUUCAUAUUAGAAAAGCCCUUGUUUCUCAAGUAUUUGAUC
Non-coding RNA from Elaeis guineensis (African oil palm), 1566 nucleotides. Lineage: Eukaryota; Viridiplantae; Streptophyta; Magnoliopsida; Arecales; Arecaceae. The record is from RefSeq and is a predicted model, not a curated record.